This 388-nucleotide ribosomal RNA is filed under the name Gymnodiniaceae sp. RNAcentral describes it as "partial small subunit ribosomal RNA". It matches the Rfam family "Eukaryotic small subunit ribosomal RNA", at positions 582 to 975 of the family's 1831-position model. Lineage: Eukaryota; Dinophyceae; Gymnodiniales; Gymnodiniaceae. The record is from RNAcentral.
AUUCCAGCUCCAAUAGCGUAUAUUAAAGUUGUUGCGGUUAAAAAGCUCGUAGUUGGAUUUCUGCUGAGGACGACCGGUCCGCCCUCUGGGUGAGUAUCUGGCUCGGCCUUGGCAUCUUCUUGGGGAACGUAACUGCACUUGACUGUGUGGUGCGGUAUCCAGGACUUUUACUUUGAGGAAAUUAGAGUGUUUCAAGCAGGCGCACGCCUUGAAUACAUUAGCAUGGAAUAAUAAGAUAGGACUUUGGUACUAUUUUGUUGGUUUGAGAACCAAGGUAAUGAUCAAUAGGGACAGUUGGGGGUAUUCGUAUUCAGUUGUCAGAGGUGAAAUUCUUAGAUUUCCGGAAGACGAACUACUGCGAAAGCAUUUACCAAGGAUGUUUUCAUUA